This 254-nucleotide ribosomal RNA is filed under the name uncultured bacterium. RNAcentral's name for it is "partial 16S ribosomal RNA". It matches the Rfam family "Bacterial small subunit ribosomal RNA", at positions 524 to 776 of the family's 1533-position model. The record is from RNAcentral.
UACGUAGGGGGCAAGCGUUGUCCGGAUUUAUUGGGCGUAAAGAGCGUGUAGGCGGUUCGGUAGGUCCGUUGUGAAAACUCGAGGCUCAACCUCGAGACGCCGAUGGAAACCCUCGAACUAGAGUCCGGAAGAGGAGAAUGGAAUUCCUGGUGGUAGCGGUGAAAUGCGCAGAUAUCAGGAAGAACACCCGUGGCUAAGGCGGUUCUCUGGGCCUUACCUGACGCUGAGGAGCGAAAGCGUGGGGAGCGAACAGG